UACGUAGGGUCCGAGCGUUGUCCGGAAUUAUUGGGCGUAAAGAGCUCGUAGGCGGUCUGUCACGUCGGCUGUGAAAACACGGGGCUCAACUCCGUGCCUGCAGUCGAUACGGGCAGACUAGAGUUCGGUAGGGGAGACUGGAAUUCCUGGUGUAGCGGUGAAAUGCGUAGAUAUCAGGAGGAACACCGGUGGCGAAGGCGGGUCUCUGGGCCGAAACUGACGCUGAGGAGCGAAAGCGUGGGGAUCAAACAGG
This 253-nucleotide ribosomal RNA is filed under the name uncultured bacterium. Its description in RNAcentral is "partial 16S ribosomal RNA". It matches the Rfam family "Bacterial small subunit ribosomal RNA", at positions 524 to 776 of the family's 1533-position model. The record is from RNAcentral.